This 1917-nucleotide long non-coding RNA is filed under the name Ananas comosus (pineapple). Its description in RNAcentral is "long non-coding RNA (ACOM_LNC039727)". The record is from RNAcentral. Lineage: Eukaryota; Viridiplantae; Streptophyta; Magnoliopsida; Poales; Bromeliaceae.
UUCUAUUAUGCCCCGAGAGUGUAAAUUUGGAACGAAUCGAUGUCAACGUUCACAGGAACCAAAACCGGAACAACGUUAGACUACUCAGUUGAGCCCUAACAGUAUAACUUUGCAACUAGAACUUUUUCUCAUUUAAUAGAACAAAGCGCAAAACCUAAUUAUAUUGUUAUAUUAUGCCCCGAGAGUGUAAACUUGGAACGAAUCGAUGUUAACGUUCACAAGAACCAGAACCGGAACAACAUUAGACUACUUUGUUGAGCCAUAACAAUAUUACUUUGUAACGAGUACUUUUUCUCAUUCUAUCGAACAAGGAGUAAAAGCUUUCUAUUAUGCCCCGAGAGUGUAAAUUUGGAACGAAACGAUGUCAACGUUCACAAGAACCAAAACCGGAACAACGUUAGACUACUCAGUUGAGCCCUAACAGUAUAACUUUGCAACUAGAACUUUUUCUCAUUUAAUAGAACAAAGCGCAAAACCUAAUUAUAUUGUUAUAUUAUGCCCCGAGAGUGUAAACUUGGAACGAAUCGAAGUUAACGUUCACAAGAACCAGAACCGGAACAACAUUAGACUACUACGUUGUGCCAUAACAGUAUUACUUUGUAACGAGUACUUUUUCUCAUUCUAUCGAACAAGGAGUAAAAGCUUUCUAUUAUGCUCCGAGAGUGAAAAUUUGGAAAGAAACGAUGUCAACGUUCACAAGAACCAAAACCGGAACAACGUUAGACUACUCAGUUGAGCCCUAACAGUAUAACUUUGCAACUAAAACUUUUUCUCAUUUAAUCAACAAAGUGCAAAACCUAAUUAUAUUGUUCUAUUAUGCCCCGAGAGUGUAAAUUUGGAACGAAUCGAUGUCAAACUUCACAAGAACCAAAACCGGAACUAAAUUAGACUACUCAGUUGCGCCAUAACAGUAUAACUUUGCAACGUGCACUUUUUCUCAUUCAAUCGAAUAAAGAGUAAAACCUAGUUAUAUUGUUCUAUUAUACCCCGAGAGUGUAAGUUUGGAACGAAUCAAUGUCAACGUUCACAAGAACCAAAACCGGCACAACAUUAGACUACUCUGUUGCGCCUUAACAGUUUAACUUUGCAACGAGUACUUUUUCUCAUUCUACCGAACAAGGUGUAAAAGCAGUCUAUUAUACCCCGAGAGUGUAAAUUUGGAACGAAGCGUUGUCAACGUUCACAAGAACCAAAACCGGAACAAUGUUAGACUACUCAGUUGAGCCAAAACAGUAUAACUUUGCAACUAGAACUUUUUCUCAUUUAAUAGAACAAAGCGCAAAACCUAAAUAUAUUGUUCUAUUAUGCCCCGAGAGUGUAAAUUUGGAACGAAUCGAUAUCAACGUUCACAAGAAUCAUAACCGGAACAACAUUAGACUACUCUAUUGCGCCAUAACAGUAUAACUUUGCAACGAGUACUUUUUCUAAUUCUAUCGAAUAAGGAGUAAAAGCUUUCUAUUAUGCCCCGAGAGUGUAAAUUUGGAACGAAUCAAUGUCAACGUUCACAAUAACCAAAACAGGAACAACGUUAGACUACUCAGUUGAGCCCUAACAGUAUAACAUUGCAACUAGUACUUUUUCUUAUUCAAUCGAACAAAGAGUAAAACCAAAUUAUAUUAUUCUAUUAUACCCCGAGAGUGUAAAUUUGGAACGAAUCGAUGUCAACGUUCACAAGAACCAAAACCGGAACAACAUUAGACUACUCUGUUGCGCUAUAACAGAAUUACUUUGCAACGAGUACUUUUUCUCAUUCUAUCGAACAAGGAGUAAAAGCUGUCUAUUAUGCCCCGAGAGUGUAAAUUUGGAACGAAACGAUGUCAACGUUCACAAGAACCAAAACCGGAACAACGUUAGACUACUUAGUUGAGCUCUAACAGAAUAACUUUGCAACUAGAACUUUUUCUCAUUUAAUCGAAC